CAUCAUGGCUCAGGAUGAACGCUAGCUACAGGCUUAACACAUGCAAGUCGAGGGGCAGCAUGGUCUUAGCUUGCUAAGGCCGAUGGCGACCGGCGCACGGGUGAGUAACACGUAUCCAACCUGCCGUCUACUCUUGGACAGCCUUCUGAAAGGAAGAUUAAUACAAGAUGGCAUCAUGAGUUCACAUGUUCACAUGAUUAAAGGUAUUCCGGUAGACGAUGGGGA
RNAcentral lists this ribosomal RNA (225 nucleotides) under uncultured bacterium. RNAcentral describes it as "partial 16S ribosomal RNA". It matches the Rfam family "Bacterial small subunit ribosomal RNA", at positions 15 to 231 of the family's 1533-position model. The record is from RNAcentral.